CGGUACGGGUGAGUAACACGUAUCCAACCUGCCGUCUACUCUUGGACAGCCUUCUGAAAGGAAGAUUAAUACAAGAUGGCAUCAUGAGUCCGCAUGUUCACAUGAUUAAAGGUAUUCCGGUAGACGAUGGGGAUGCGUUCCAUUAGAUAGUAGGCGGGGUAACGGCCCACCUAGUCUUCGAUGGAUAGGGGUUCUGAGAGGAAGGUCCCCCACAUUGGAACUGAGACACGGUCCAA
RNAcentral lists this ribosomal RNA (236 nucleotides) under uncultured bacterium. RNAcentral's name for it is "partial 16S ribosomal RNA". It matches the Rfam family "Bacterial small subunit ribosomal RNA", at positions 100 to 334 of the family's 1533-position model. The record is from RNAcentral.